CAAAAUGACUGGAAAACGGCAAACUUUGCAAGGCUAUAUUAUCCACAUUUUACAACAUUUCGCAACGAAACUUCGGAAUAUUACUAAUUUUGUGAUGCUCUUUCCAGCUGUGAUGAAAUUUUUGUCCAGGCAUAUCUAGAUCAAAAUUUCACUCAUAAGGGGAAAUGUCUAUUAGUUAUAUCGAGUGUGGAAGUCCACAAUCCUAAACUUCAAUAAUGCAUAUUUUCUAGGUGUUGAAGAUCACACCCAAUUCCAAAUGGAUAUUUGAGAGGGUCUGUGCAGUCCCUCUCUCUGUUAAAUUCAUGACAAGUCCCAUUCAUGUGCCAACACAAAUUGUUUGAUCCUGUCAUGUAAUGAGAUGUAAAGAAAGUUGUUUUGUAUUGCUGUUUUCACAAUGUCAAUGUUUUGUCUUAGUGAUGGAUGUUUGACUAUAGAUUAUGGUAAAAGGUCAAUGUAUUUCAGUACAUGCCUAAAAUCUUGGGGAGGUUUCUACCAGUUACAGUAGGCCUAAAAGUUAUUUGGUUCUGGUUUCAUGCUUCCAAAAAUUAGGGUCAGUAUGUCGGACUUUCUUAUAUUUUUAUCAGUUUUGUUUAUUCAAAUAGCUGAUAUUUUAAUGCGAGCAACGUUUUAUUAUUGUGUAGAUAAUAUUUUUUGUGCACAAGAGGGUCUCACUUAUUGUAUAUCAUGUCUGGAAAUGACUUUUUAAUUUUUGCCAGUAAAAAAAAUGUAAAAAGUAAGGUCGGGUGUCACAGGAUAGCUGAGUCUGUCAGUGAACUGAAAUCAAACAUUUAUUCGGGCCCUAGCUUAGCAACUAGUCAUUGUGUGCAUAAGUUCGGUUUUUCACAAGAUCUGUAGAUGCGUUCAUCCCCCGUCGAAGCGAAAAUGAGCUGUACAAAUUAUUUUUUCGCUUAAAAUCACGGCUCAUAUUAUGGAAAAACCAUUUCCGUAGUUGAGUAAAUGAUUUUUUAAAAUUUAAUUUUUGGAUACGGGUAAUGCAUGUAUAGUUCACUUUUUGUUUUGAAAAUCAACCAAGAUGGCCUCGAUUCAAUCACUGUUCAAUAGGAAGCACUUCUUAACCAUAAUCUAUAGCCAAACAUGGGGACGGUCUAAAACUGCAGGAUGGUGGUUGACGCAGGUUAGUGGUAGAGGUUUGGAAAUUUGGUUCGGAUACGUUUUCCGCUGGCGGAUCGUGUCUCCGAGAACACUAUCCGCGUCGCGUCCCUCGCGUAUUCUAUCGCCUUCGAAAACUACUCGAUUACUUUCAAUAGCGCGACGUUUCACUAAAGUGAUAUGGACAACGCUUUUUAAGUUUUUCGUAACGUUUUCAACUUGGAAACUUGAUAUGCAUGCAAUGUAGACGAAUUAUAAUAAAACCGGUUUUCCACUGCCCAUUGGGCGGAAUUUUGCGCGCGGAGCGGAAUUUUCGUGAAAAGAAAGUCUUGUAAUUCGUCUUAUUAUUGGAAAACCAGCUUUACAAAUGAGGACACUAUCCGCGGAAAUGUAAUUAUAGGGGGCGUAAAUAUAAUUCGUUUACAUUGCAUGCAUUUAUCUGCUAUAGUGGAUAGGGUAACACCAGCUUUAAAGGCGGGUUUCCAUUCAUUGCAAAAUGUUGCGCGAUCGUCUCUUUACGAUCGCUUUCUUGUGAAGUACGAACAGUCAAGCGGAACUGAAAUCUCAUUAGCUGCAGUUGACUGCACAAAUUUCAAAGAAAGCGAUUGCAAAAAAAUCGAUCGUGCGACAUUUUGCACUGAAUGAAAAUCCAUCCUUAACCUGCGCCAAUCGGCAACUGCAGUUUAGAUCUCCCGAACAUGGUGAUCUGAUUAUGUAAAUAAAGUAAUGUUGGCGUCUGUUUAGUGGUGCACUGCGAAAGGGAAUGUCGUGUAUUUUUUGUUCUGUGUUGUCGAGAGGCCUUGUAUUAUGCUGUUCGUGUGUGUGUCCUGGUGGUACAAUGUAAGGUGCGACGUGCACCUUUCGAGCUUGAAAAAAAGAAAACAUUAACGGAAGAGAAUAUAAACAUCGAAAAGGAUUGUGUCCUGAAAAUUGUAAAUAAAUUUACACAAAAAAAGAAGAAAAGGAAUAAAAUAUCCACAAAACGCAAAAAAUAUUUUCAACUUUAAUUGUAACUAACCUGCAGCAGACUUGUGGCGAUUGUUUACCGGCUGAUAGUUUCAGCAAAUAUAAAAGUAAUCUUAUUCCGAAAAAAAUAUGCAUUUUAAUUAACAACACAUCUAUUUAAAAAAAAAUGUAUAUUUCGAAUCUACUUUGAUUCAUCUUCUGUAGUAUAUUU
This is a non-coding RNA of Paramuricea clavata, 2287 nucleotides long. The record is from the annotation of a GenBank genome assembly. Lineage: Eukaryota; Metazoa; Cnidaria; Anthozoa; Malacalcyonacea; Plexauridae.